AAUCAUUGUAAAUGAAAAACAUUAUAAAACAUGACAUGAAGACCAAAGGGUUGGUGUUCUUCCCCAUUUCCACCCAGUAAAUCCUAGAAAACAAGACAUUCUUAUCCUUCUCUAGAAAACUAUACAUUUCGUAUCAAUUUUCACGAUCCAGCGCUCAGCGACCAUGUCUCAAUACUCAACAUCAAGUAAUCGUAGUGUUUCUCGCUCCAAUCAUGUCGAAUGUAAGUGUGGUAUUCCUUCUCCAUUAAUGGCGACGUAAACGAUUUGAACCCAACUCGUCGUUUUUUGGCUGUGGGAUGUACAAGAAUACAAGGAUACAAGAGUAGUCACUUCAUCUGGUACGAUGAAGAAAUGUAUCAAUGAGUCAAGAAAGUAAUAUCUUUAAUGCAUAAAAAAUUAAACCAAUAAAAUGUCAAGUUGAAUGAAGCCAUUAUCAGAGAGGAUCAACUGAAGUUGAAGAUCAAGUUCUUGAAGAUGAUGAACAAGUCUACCAUGAGAAUGACCUUAAUGCUGUUAAUUGGAUUUGUUGUAUCAAAUGUAAUAAAUUAGUUGAUUAUGUUAGGUUUGUUUGUGUUAAGUUUAUUUGUGCAAUGUAAUACACUGUUAAUGUUGUGUGAACUGCAAUGCAAUGUAAUUGACUAUGUUAAGUUGAAUGAAGAUUGUUAUUGUUGAA
Molecule: long non-coding RNA, 673 nt
Organism: Lathyrus oleraceus (garden pea)
Lineage: Eukaryota; Viridiplantae; Streptophyta; Magnoliopsida; Fabales; Fabaceae
Exons: 2
Source: RefSeq, a predicted model, not a curated record